UACAGAGGUCUCAAGCGUUGUUCGGAUUCAUUGGGCGUAAAGGGUGCGUAGGUGGCGCCGUAAGUCAGGUGUGAAAUUUCGGAGCUUAACUCCGAAACUGCAUUUGAUACUGCGGUGCUUGAGGACUGGAGAGGAGACUGGAAUUUACGGUGUAGCAGUGAAAUGCGUAGAGAUCGUAAGGAAGACCAGUGGCGAAGGCGGGUCUCUGGACAGUUCCUGACACUGAGACACGAAGGCCAGGGGAGCAAACGGG
This 253-nucleotide ribosomal RNA is filed under the name uncultured bacterium. RNAcentral describes it as "partial 16S ribosomal RNA". It matches the Rfam family "Bacterial small subunit ribosomal RNA", at positions 524 to 776 of the family's 1533-position model. The record is from RNAcentral.